This 253-nucleotide ribosomal RNA is filed under the name uncultured bacterium. RNAcentral's name for it is "partial 16S ribosomal RNA". It matches the Rfam family "Bacterial small subunit ribosomal RNA", at positions 524 to 776 of the family's 1533-position model. The record is from RNAcentral.
UACGUAGGGGGCAAGCGUUGUCCGGAAUCAUUGGGCGUAAAGCGCGCGUAGGCGGCUGAGUAAGUCUGCUCUGAAAGCCCGGGGCUCAACCCCGGGAGGCGGGUGGAUACUGCUCAGCUCGAGUCCGGAAGAGGAGUGUGGAAUUCCUGGUGUAGCGGUGAAAUGCGCAGAUAUCAGGAGGAACACCAAUGGCGAAGGCAGCGCUCUGGGGCGGUACUGACGCUGAGACGCGAAAGCGUGGGGAGCAAACAGG